This 693-nucleotide ribosomal RNA is filed under the name uncultured bacterium. RNAcentral describes it as "bacterial SSU rRNA". It matches the Rfam family "Bacterial small subunit ribosomal RNA", at positions 32 to 715 of the family's 1533-position model. The record is from RNAcentral.
AACGCUAGCUACAGGCUUAACACAUGCAAGUCGAGGGGCAUCAGGAAGAAAGCUUGCUUUCUUUGCUGGCGACCGGCGCACGGGUGAGUAACACGUAUCCAACCUGCCCUUUACUCGGGGAUAGCCUUUCGAAAGAAAGAUUAAUACCCGAUGGCAUAAUGAUUCCGCAUGGUUUCAUUAUUAAAGGAUUCCGGUAAAGGAUGGGGAUGCGUUCCAUUAGGUUGUUGGUGAGGUAACGGCCCACCAAGCCUUCGAUGGAUAGGGGUUCUGAGAGGAAGGUCCCCCACAUUGGAACUGAGACACGGUCCAAACUCCUACGGGAGGCAGCAGUGAGGAAUAUUGGUCAAUGGGCGCUAGCCUGAACCAGCCAAGUAGCGUGAAGGAUGAAGGCUCUAUGGGUCGUAAACUUCUUUUAUAUAAGAAUAAAGUGCAGUAUGUAUACUGUUUUGUAUGUAUUAUAUGAAUAAGGAUCGGCUAACUCCGUGCCAGCAGCCGCGGUAAUACGGAGGAUCCGAGCGUUAUCCGGAUUUAUUGGGUUUAAAGGGAGCGUAGGUGGACUGGUAAGUCAGUUGUGAAAGUUUGCGGCUCAACCGUAAAAUUGCAGUUGAUACUGUCAGUCUUGAGUACAGUAGAGGUGGGCGGAAUUCGUGGUGUAGCGGUGAAAUGCUUAGAUAUCACGAAGAACUCCGAUUG